UCUCAUAAACCGUGGCUCAGUUCAGAUCGUAGGCUGCAACUCGCCUACGUGAAGGAGGAAUCGCUAGUAAUCGCAGGUCAGCAUACUGCGGUGAAUACGUUCCCGGGCCUUGUACACACCGCCCGUCACACCAUGGAAGUUGGCCACGCCCGAAGCCGUUACUCCAACCCUUGUGGAGGAGGACGUCGAAGGUGGGGCUGAUGACUGGGGUGAAGUCGUAACAAGGUAGCCGUACCGGAAGGUGCGGCUGGAUCACCUCCUAA
This 263-nucleotide ribosomal RNA is filed under the name uncultured Synechococcus sp. Its description in RNAcentral is "partial 16S ribosomal RNA". It matches the Rfam family "Bacterial small subunit ribosomal RNA", at positions 1272 to 1533 of the family's 1533-position model. The record is from RNAcentral. Lineage: Bacteria; Bacillati; Cyanobacteriota; Cyanophyceae; Synechococcales; Synechococcaceae.